UGGUGGGGUAAGAGCCUACCAAGGCGACGACGGUUAGCCGGCGUGAGAGCGUGGCCGGCCACAAGGACACUGAGAUACGGGUCCUACUCCUACGGGAGGCAGCAGUGCGGAAUUUUAGAUAAUGGAGGCAACUCUGAUCUAGCGACGCCGCGUGCAGGAAGAAGGUCUUCGGAUUGUAAACUGCUGUGGUAAGGGAAAAAUGUCAUGUAGAGUGGAAAGCUACAUGGAGGGAUGGUACCUUACUAGAAAGCCCCGGCUAACUACGUGCCAGCAGCCGCGGUAAUACGUAGGGGGCGAGCGUUACCCGGAAUCACUGGGCGUAAAGGGAGCGUAGGUGGCCUGACAUGUCAACUGUGAAAACCCGGAGCUCAACUCCGGACUUGCAGUUGAAACUGCCAGGCUUGAGGACGGUAGAGGAAGACGGAACUGCCAGUGUAGGGGUAAAAUCCUUAGAUAUUGGCAGGAACGCCGGUGACGAAGGUGGUUUUCUGGGCCGGUUCUGACACUGAUGCUCGAAAGCCAGGGGAGCGAACGGGAUUAGAU
This 543-nucleotide ribosomal RNA is filed under the name uncultured microorganism. RNAcentral's name for it is "bacterial SSU rRNA". It matches the Rfam family "Bacterial small subunit ribosomal RNA", at positions 250 to 783 of the family's 1533-position model. The record is from RNAcentral.